CAGUAGCCGCGGUAAUACGAAGGGUGCAAGCGUUAAUCGGAAUUACUGGGCGUAAAGCGUGCGUAGGCGGUGAGUUAAGUCUGCUGUGAAAUCCCCGGGCUCAACCUGGGAAUGGCAGUGGAUACUGGCUCGCUAGAGUGUGUCAGAGGAUGGUGGAAUUCCCGGUGUAGCGGUGAAAUGCGUAGAGAUCGGGAGGAACAUCAGUGGCGAAGGCGGCCAUCUGGGACAACACUGACGCUGAGGCACGAAAGCGUGGGGAACAAACAGGAUUAGAUACCCCAGUAGUCCCUGUCUCUUAUAC
Molecule: ribosomal RNA, 301 nt
Filed under: uncultured bacterium
Lineage: Bacteria
Description: partial 16S ribosomal RNA
Rfam family: Bacterial small subunit ribosomal RNA
Source: RNAcentral